Molecule: small nuclear RNA, 191 nt
Organism: Neoarius graeffei (lesser salmon catfish)
Lineage: Eukaryota; Metazoa; Chordata; Actinopteri; Siluriformes; Ariidae
Product: U2 spliceosomal RNA
Exons: 1
Source: RefSeq, a predicted model, not a curated record
GUGGUUUUUCUGUUGUUUGUUUUAGAUGAAGCAUAGUGUUUGUUUUUAUCACUUUAAUAUCUGACAUGUUAUUUAACUGAAAAUGUUAUAUUAAUUAGAUUUUUCAACAAAAGAGCUGGAGUUGGGGCUUGCUUCUUCUGCUCCACUCAUUAAUCUGGUUUUAUAGUAUUUCUAGGAAUAGUCCCUUGUUC